AGAGUUGUCAGAGUGGCUGAAUGUACCGGAUUGAUAAUCCGGCAGGGGGCAACCCCUCACGGGUUCGAAUCCCGUACUCUCCG
RNAcentral lists this transfer RNA (83 nucleotides) under Aeromonas dhakensis. Its description in RNAcentral is "tRNA-Ile". It matches the Rfam family "tRNA". Rfam says of the family: Transfer RNA (tRNA) molecules are approximately 80 nucleotides in length. Their secondary structure includes four short double-helical elements and three loops (D, anti-codon, and T loops). Further hydrogen bonds mediate the characteristic L-shaped molecular structure. tRNAs have two regions of fundamental functional importance: the anti-codon, which is responsible for specific mRNA codon recognition, and the 3' end, to which the tRNAs corresponding amino acid is attached (by aminoacyl-tRNA synthetases). tRNAs cope with the degeneracy of the genetic code in two manners: having more than one tRNA (with a specific anti-codon) for a particular amino acid; and 'wobble' base-pairing, i.e. permitting non-standard base-pairing at the 3rd anti-codon position. The record is from RNAcentral. Lineage: Bacteria; Pseudomonadati; Pseudomonadota; Gammaproteobacteria; Aeromonadales; Aeromonadaceae.